AAGAAUGCUCAUGUUUGACCCAGUUCCUGUUAAGCAAGAGGCCCGUGGACCCUGUCUCGGUGUCAUACUCAUCUAAUUACAUGGAAUCCAUGAAGCCCAACAAGUAUGGGGUCAUCUACUCCACACAAUUGCCUGAUGAGUUCUUUCAGACCCUAGAAGGCCUGUGGCAUGGAAUACAGAUGGAGCCAGUGGACUUCAUGGUGAGCAAGCGGAGUUCACCUCCUUCUGCUGGGAAUUUGCACCCCUCUCUCAAGUUCCUAUCCUCACACCAGAGAGCCUCGCCUGGGUUGAGCAUGCCUUCUUCCAGCCCACCAAUGAAAAUACUCAUCCCCUUCUCCAGGCUGGCAGCCUUUUGACGUGCCACUUGUCCAUGCCGCAGAUGAUGGCAGCUGCCCUCUCCUGGCACAGAAUAUGGAGCCUGGGGAUCUUGCUGGUCAUCCAGCCGGUGGUGGUGCAGCCCAUCCCCUUUAUGUACAUGAGUCACCUCCAGGAGCCUCUCAUGGUCUCCUUGAGGAGGAGGAGGAGGAAGAGGUCUUCCAUGGAGGAGAUGAAAAAUUCCAGUAGUAGCAUGCAAGUACCUGUAAUUGAAUCAUAAGAAAAUCCUGUACCAGAGAAAAAAAUUAAAAUAGAACCUGGGAUUGAACCACAGAGGACGGAUUAUCCUGAAGAAAUGUCACCCCCCCCUUAAUGAACUCAGUGUUCCCCCCCACAAGCAUUGUUGCAAGAGAAUCACCCUUUGGUCAUCUUGCAGCCUGGGAAGAGACCUUUACCUGUGGAAUCCCCGGAUACUCGAAGUGGAGGAUACACAGAUGUGAUUACGAUGGAUGCAACAAAGUGUACGCUAAAAGCUCCCACUUGAAAGCACACAGAAGACGACACACAGAAAAACCCUACAAAUGUACAUGGGAAGGAUGCACAUGGACGUUUGCUCGGUCUGAUGAACUAAAAAGACAUUUAGGAAAACAUACUGGAAUCAAACCUUUACAGUGUCCGGACUGUAACCGUAGCUUUUCCCGUCCCAA
RNAcentral lists this long non-coding RNA (1022 nucleotides) under Homo sapiens (human). RNAcentral describes it as "non-protein coding lnc-STK10-1:1". Lineage: Eukaryota; Metazoa; Chordata; Mammalia; Primates; Hominidae. The record is from RNAcentral.